This 239-nucleotide long non-coding RNA is filed under the name Elaeis guineensis (African oil palm). RNAcentral describes it as "long non-coding RNA (EGUI_LNC037634)". Lineage: Eukaryota; Viridiplantae; Streptophyta; Magnoliopsida; Arecales; Arecaceae. The record is from RNAcentral.
CGCAAGAAGAAGAAGAUUCAGAAAAAUCAAAAAAUAAUGAAGAAGAUGAGGACUUGACAUUAAUCACUAGAAAAUUUAGAUGCUUUAUGAGGAAAAGAAGACAAGGGACCAAGAGAAGACCACCAGUUAAGGGGGAGUCGAGUAAAGAAAAGAAAAAAGAGCAGCCUGUUAUCUGUUAUGAAUGCAAAAAGUCGGGCCACUUUAGAUCGAACUGUUCUUAGCUCAAGAAAGGUCAGAAG